Molecule: ribosomal RNA, 253 nt
Filed under: uncultured bacterium
Lineage: Bacteria
Also listed under: 1 other name
Description: partial 16S ribosomal RNA
Rfam family: Bacterial small subunit ribosomal RNA
Source: RNAcentral
GACGAACCGAGCGAACGUUGUUCGGAAUCACUGGGCUUAAAGGGUGCGUAGGCGGGCUGCCAAGUUUGGGGUGAAAUCCUCCGGCUCAACCGGGGAAGUGCCUCGAAUACUGGCGGUCUGGAGGGAGGUAGGGGCGUGCGGAACUAACGGUGGAGCGGUGAAAUGCGUUGAUAUCGUUAGGAACUCCGGUGGCGAAGGCGGCACGCUAGACCUCUUCUGACGCUGAGGCACGAAAGCCAGGGGAGCGAACGGG